AGCAGCCGCGGUAAUUCCAGCUCCAAUAGCGUAUAUUAAAGUUGCUGCAGUUAAAAAGCUCGUAGUUGAAUUUCGGGAUCAAUAUGUUGGUCGUGCCUCGGUACGUACUAGCUUAUUGGUUUCUCCCUUCUGACGAACCAUGAUGUCAUUUAUUUGGUGUUAUGGGAAAUCAGGACUGUUACUUUGAAAAAAUUAGAGUGUUUAAAGCAGGCUCACGCUUGAAUACAUUAGCAUGGAAUAAUGAAAUAGGACGUUUGAUUCUAUUUUGUUGGUUUCUAGGAUCGACGUAAUGAUUAAUAGGGAUAGUUGGGGGCAUUAGUAUUCAAUUGUCAGAGGUGAAAUUCUUGGAUUUAUUGAAGACUAACUACUGCGAAAGCAUUUGCCAAGGAUGUUUUCAUUAAUCAAGAACGAAAGUUAGGGGAUCGAAGACGAUCAGAUACCGUCGUAGUCUUAACCAUAAACUAUGCCGACUAGGGAUCGGAUGAUGUUAAUUUUUA
Molecule: ribosomal RNA, 497 nt
Filed under: uncultured Glomus
Lineage: Eukaryota; Fungi; Glomeromycota; Glomeromycetes; Glomerales; Glomeraceae
Description: SSU rRNA
Rfam family: Eukaryotic small subunit ribosomal RNA
Source: RNAcentral